RNAcentral lists this ribosomal RNA (440 nucleotides) under uncultured bacterium. Its description in RNAcentral is "partial 16S ribosomal RNA". It matches the Rfam family "Bacterial small subunit ribosomal RNA", at positions 338 to 795 of the family's 1533-position model. The record is from RNAcentral.
CCUACGGGGGGCUGCAGUGGGGAAUAUUGCACAAUGGGGGAAACCCUGAUGCAGCGACGCCGCGUGAGUGAAGACGUACUUCGGUAUGUAAAGCUCUAUCAGCAGGGAAGAAAAUGACGGUACCUGAUUAAGAAGCCCCGGCUAACUACGUGCCAGCAGCCGCGGUAAUACGGAGGGGGCAAGCGUUAUCCGGAUUUACUGGGUGUAAAGGGAGCGUAGACGGCAGCACAAGUCUGGAGUGAAAUGCCGGGGCUUAACCCCGGACGUGCGUUGGAAACUGGGCAGCUUGAGUGCAGGAGAGGUAGGUGGAAUUCGUGGUGUAGCGGUGAAAUGCGUAGAUAUUAGGCAGAACACCGAUGGCGAAGGCAGCUUACUGGACUGUAACUGACGUUGAGGCACGAAAGCGUGGGGAGCAAACAGGAUUAGAUACCCCUGUAGUC